AGGAUGAACGCUAGCGACAGGCUUAACACAUGCAAGUCGAGGGGUAACAUUGGAAGCUUGCUUUCAGAUGACGACCGGCGCACGGGUGCGUGACGCGUAUACAAUCUACCUAUUACAGGGGAAUAGCCCAGAGAAAUUUGGAUUAAUGCCCCAUGGUAUUAUAUAGAGGCAUCUUUAUAUAAUUAAAACUCCGGUGGUAAUAGAUGGGUAUGCGUCUUAUUAGCUAGUUGGUAAGGUAAUGGCUUACCAAGGCCACGAUAAGUAGGGGUCCUGAGAGGGAGAUCCCCCACACUGGUACUGAGACACGGACCAGACUCCUACGGGAGGCAGCAGUGAGGAAUAUUGGGCAAUGGAGGCAACUCUGACCCAGCCAUACCGCGUGAAGGAAGAAUGUCCUAUGGAUUGUAAACUUCUUUUAUAUGGGAAGAAUAAGAGCUACGUGUAGCUUGAUGACUGUACCAUAUGAAUAAGCACCGGCUAACUCCGUGCCAGCAGCCGCGGUAAUACGGAGGGUGCAAGCGUUAUCCGGAUUUAUUGGGUUUAAAGGGUCCGUAGGCGGGCCAAUAAGUCAGUGGUGAAAUCCUAUCGCUUAACGAUAGAACUGCCAUUGAAACUGUUGGUCUUGAAUUAUUUUGAAGUUGGCGGAAUGAGUAGUGUAGCGGUGAAAUGCAUAGAUAUUACUCAGAACACCUAUUGCGAAGGCAGCUGACUAAGAAUAUAUUGACGCUGAUGGACGAAAGCGUAGGUAGCGAACAGGAUUAGAUACCCUGGUAGUCUACGCAGUAAACGAUGGAUACUCGUUGUCGGGAAAAUUGAGACUCGGUGGCUAAGCGAAAGUGAUAAGUAUC
This 848-nucleotide ribosomal RNA is filed under the name uncultured bacterium. Its description in RNAcentral is "bacterial SSU rRNA". It matches the Rfam family "Bacterial small subunit ribosomal RNA", at positions 26 to 868 of the family's 1533-position model. The record is from RNAcentral.